GUUAAGAGUACCUAGGGUGGCUUCCAGAGCAGGUAGAUGUUUCUGGGAUGAGAUCUACCUGGGUUCCGGUCUGAUCCUGCUCCUUAAGAGCCUGGUGAUCUUUAGCAAGAUAUGUAAUGAAGCCCCUGAAUCCAGUCUCCUUAUCUGUAAAAGGUUUAUUGUGAUGAUUACACGGGCUAACGUGUAAAAGCACCGCACUAAUCCACCUAUAGUGGGUGCUCAGUAAGAGUUUUGCUCUUCAUUCGCAAAUCUUGACACUGGCAGUGGGAGGGUUGAGUUGUGUCUGAGUUCUGGCAGGAAUCAAGUGGCACAUUCCAAAUGCGUAGUUUGUGGAGAGUUUCAUAAAGGGACUAUUCCCAAAGGCAUUGGCAAGGUUAAAAAACAAACAAGGUUGGCGGCAGACCCUUGGGCCUGAAGUCUCAAGCGAGAGGGCUGCCUGGCAGGAGUUGUAGCUAUGGUGGUGGGAGGCAGGCAGUCCACGGUGAGAUAGUAGGAGUGGAGAGAAUAAACACCUUGACCUCACUCUCCUCUUGCCCUUCAUAUUCCUGAGUGCGUUUCUUUAGCUGAACCCAGGCAAUCAGCUCAGCCUACUAGGUUACACAACAAGGUGGAUGGAGCAUACAGAAGAUGCCCAGUGAGGGCAAGCUCAAUAUUUAUAAGCUGAAUAAAAAGAAGCCAGAGUAGGUCCCAGAUCUCAGAGUUCGGUGAGCUUUGACUACUCUGUCUCCCGAGUAACUGCUGCAGGGUUUUUUAAACACCUGUUGCUUAAAGAGUUACAGGCUGUGCACAAUCUAGGGACACUCAGCUUACAAAGACUUCGUGGGCUGUCACAGCCGCCGGCACAAUUGAAAUCUGCACUCAGAUUUCAGAAAGCCAUGGUGAAAGGUGACUUCUCCCUCUCCCUUCCCUGAUACCCAGGAUGCUGUGAAGAGACACAGAAAUGGCUCCCAGGCACAUGAGGGGAAAGCAGCUAAGGAGGAGGCCUUGCGUUGGUCCUUCAAAAGUGCCUUCCUGUAGGGAAUUCAGCACGUAGGAACUCCAUGGAAGAGAUAAGUAUUGUACAGGCCAACUGCCAGGGCGGCUUGCUCACAAUAUGAAAAAGAAUCAGCUGCUGUAAGAGAGGAGCGACUUCAUACAAAUGCCAGUGUUUGUCUAGUGACUUGAAGUAGCUGUAGAUUAAUACCCCAAUAUGUGGCAUAUUAUCUCCAAUAUUAAACAUAAAAAUUAAUUUCUGUGCCCCUAUUUUAAGGGUAGGGACUUAUGGAUAGACAAAAGCCUUUGCCUGAUUUAGGGUAGGAUCUCUCUGGUUACCCCCAGAUAAUUACACACCCAGAAAUGUUUGUAUCUUGUAAAAGGCCCCUGAACUUUUCCAUGCUUAACAGCCCCCUGACUUUUAUUAUAAAUUCAAUAUGGAAAGGUUGAGUUUCAGAAAGAAUUAUUUCAGUGUUAUCUCUGAUCAGUAUAGCAUCAAUGAGUAAUUUCACUAUCUGAAUUAAACUUAGGACACCUGUUUAAAUAUUGCCUAAACAGAUUAUGUCAAAUGUUAGAGAACUGGAAGUAUCUUGGAGGCAAGAUAAAUCAUUGGCUGCCAAGUGAGAGCAAACUGCUGUUAAUGUUUAAAAUGUAAAUAAAUACAUACAUACAUAUAUACAUAUGGGGAUCAAAAACAAUGCCAUGGUAAGAUUAAUAAAAUAACAAUCAGAGAUGACUGAGAAAGAUCUUCCUGUAGAGAAAUAGUGUCAACCACAGUUACAGAUUCUUUUGGGUUUUUUUAUCCUCCGUUGACAUCUGAGAUCCAUUUACUUUUCCAAAAAUCCGAGUGAGAGUUAAAGGUGAAAAGGUUGGAGGUGGGAUGGGCUCCCAGUUAACUCCAGUAUUGGUUAUGAUUUCACUCAUGAUCCUGCCUGGGUCUAUUUCUUGUUUACAGUUUUUGUGGGACAAGAAAGCUCCAAGUUUCCAUUUCUUAGCAGCCAGUAUACAUCCCAUUUGAGAUUACGGGGGACGGCCUCUAGAUUAGCUCCCUUGGAAGUUCCACGUGAGAAGAGGCAAAGAUCACUCUUGCACAGCAGCAUAACUCAUUACCUAACACUGGUAUUUGAAAUACAGCUGCGUGGCUGGCACUUAAAAGAAAUGCACUUUGAUGCUGUGAAGAGACACAGAAAUGGCUCCCAGGCACAUGAGGGGAAAGCAGCUAAGGAGGAGGCCUUGCGUUGGUCCUUCAAAAGUGCCUUCCUGUAGGGAAUUCAGCACGUAGGAACUCCAUGGAAGAGAUAAGUAUUGUACAGGCCAACUGCCAGGGCGGCUUGCUCACAAUAUGAAAAAGAAUCAGCUGCUGUAAGAGAGGAGCGACUUCAUACAAAUGCCAGUGUUUGUCUAGUGACUUGAAGUAGCUGUAGAUUAAUACCCCAAUAUGUGGCAUAUUAUCUCCAAUAUUAAACAUAAAAAUUAAUUUCUGUGCCCCUAUUUUAAGGGUAGGGACUUAUGGAUAGACAAAAGCCUUUGCCUGAUUUAGGGUAGGAUCUCUCUGGUUACCCCCAGAUAAUUACACACCCAGAAAUGUUUGUAUCUCGUAAAAGGCCCCUGAACUUUUCCAUGCUUAACAGCCCCCUGACUUUUAUUAUAAAUUCAAUAUGGAAAGGUUGAGUUUCAGAAAGAAUUAUUUCAGUGUUAUCUCUGAUCAGUAUAGCAUCAAUGAGUAAUUUCACUAUCUGAAUUAAACUUAGGACACCUGUUUAAAUAUUGCCUAAACAGAUUAUGUCAAAUGUUAGAGAACUGGAAGUAUCUUGGAGGCAAGAUAAAUCAUUGGCUGCCAAGUGAGAGCAAACUGCUGUUAAUGUCUAAAAUGUAAAUAAAUACAUACAUACAUAUAUACAUAUGGGGAUCAAAAACAAUGCCAUGGUAAGAUUAAUAAAAUAACAAUCAGAGA
Molecule: long non-coding RNA, 2926 nt
Organism: Felis catus (domestic cat)
Lineage: Eukaryota; Metazoa; Chordata; Mammalia; Carnivora; Felidae
Exons: 3
Source: RefSeq, a predicted model, not a curated record